GCCUCGAUAGCUCAGUUGGUAGAGCAAGGGACUGAAAAUCCCUGUGUCACCGGUUCGAUUCCUGUUCGAGGCACCA
Molecule: transfer RNA, 76 nt
Filed under: Clostridia bacterium
Lineage: Bacteria; Bacillati; Bacillota; Clostridia
Description: tRNA-Phe
Rfam family: tRNA
About the family: Transfer RNA (tRNA) molecules are approximately 80 nucleotides in length. Their secondary structure includes four short double-helical elements and three loops (D, anti-codon, and T loops). Further hydrogen bonds mediate the characteristic L-shaped molecular structure. tRNAs have two regions of fundamental functional importance: the anti-codon, which is responsible for specific mRNA codon recognition, and the 3' end, to which the tRNAs corresponding amino acid is attached (by aminoacyl-tRNA synthetases). tRNAs cope with the degeneracy of the genetic code in two manners: having more than one tRNA (with a specific anti-codon) for a particular amino acid; and 'wobble' base-pairing, i.e. permitting non-standard base-pairing at the 3rd anti-codon position.
Source: RNAcentral